ACGGGAGGCAGCAGUGAGGAAUAUUGGUCAAUGGGCGGGAGCCUGAACCAGCCAAGUCGCGUGAAGGAUGAAGGUAUUAUGUAUUGUAAACUUCUUUAGCUGUGGAGCAAUAAUCUCCAUGUAUGGAGAGAUGAGAGUACACAGAGAAUAAGGAUCGGCUAACUCCGUGCCAGCAGCCGCGGUAAUACGGAGGAUCCGAGCGUUAUCCGGAUUUAUUGGGUUUAAAGGGUGCGCAGGCGGCUUUCUAAGUCAGUGGUAAAAUCGUGGUGCUCAACGCCAUCCCGCCAUUGAUACUGGAGAGCUUGAUUGCGGUCGAGGUUUGCGGAAUUCGUCGUGUAGCGGUGAAAUGCAUAGAUAUGACGAAGAACACCGAUUGCGUAGGCAGCAGACCAGGCCGUAAAUGACGCUCAUGCACGAAAGUGCGGGGAUCGAACAGGAUUAGAUACCCUGGUA
RNAcentral lists this ribosomal RNA (453 nucleotides) under uncultured Parabacteroides sp. RNAcentral describes it as "partial 16S ribosomal RNA". It matches the Rfam family "Bacterial small subunit ribosomal RNA", at positions 341 to 792 of the family's 1533-position model. The record is from RNAcentral. Lineage: Bacteria; Pseudomonadati; Bacteroidota; Bacteroidia; Bacteroidales; Tannerellaceae.